Molecule: ribosomal RNA, 477 nt
Filed under: Triticum aestivum (bread wheat)
Lineage: Eukaryota; Viridiplantae; Streptophyta; Magnoliopsida; Poales; Poaceae
Description: partial small subunit ribosomal RNA
Source: RNAcentral
AUGGCACACAUGUACAAGGAGAUCCCAGAUGCUGCUCUUGAGACACAUAAGUUUGGAUCUAUACAUUACCUUCUAUCAGGCUUGCCAACCAUCAACUGGAUCCUCAGGCACACUCUCUUGCCAAAGUCAGGUGAUCACAAGAUAAUCAGAGGCCAUGCAAUAAACUUGCUUCACAUCUUUGAUGUCCCACAAAAGUUCAAAGUCAUGAGCCUAAUAGUUGAAACUAUCAAGAGGACAGCUGCAGAUCAAAAAAGGAGUUGUGGGUACGCCCCACAGAUCCAGGAGCUGAUCAACUCCAAGAUGGGCACUGGUACAUAUCUGCUGGACAAGGAGCACAUGCCUAUCUAUCCAGACUUCGAGGACAACACUGUGGUUAUGAAUGAGUAUGAACUAUCUUCUAUGCACGCACAAGCCAAGAAGGAGAAGGCAAAAGCUGAAAAGGCUGCAAGGAUGCCAACUACUGAAGAAGCAUCUUAG